UGGGGAAUAUUGCACAAUGGGCGCAAGCCUGAUGCAGCCAUGCCGCGUGUGUGAAGAAGGCCUUCGGGUUGUAAAGCACUUUCAGCGGGGAGGAAGGCGUUAAGGUUAAUAACCUUGGCGAUUGACGUUACCGACAGAAGAAGCACCGGCUAACUCCGUGCCAGCAGCCGCGGUAAUACGGAGGGUGCAAGCGUUAAUCGGAAUUACUGGGCGUAAAGCGCACGCAGGCGGUCUGUCAAGUCGGAUGUGAAAUCCCCGGGCUCAACCUGGGAACUGCAUUCGAAACUGGCAGGCUAGAGUCUUGUAGAGGGGGGUAGAAUUCCAGGUGUAGCGGUGAAAUGCGUAGAGAUCUGGAGGAAUACCGGUGGCGAAGGCGGCCCCCUGGACAAAGACUGACGCUCAGGUGCGAAAGCGUGGGGAGCAAACAGG
This 429-nucleotide ribosomal RNA is filed under the name Chloroflexota bacterium. Its description in RNAcentral is "Chloroflexi bacterium partial 16S ribosomal RNA". It matches the Rfam family "Bacterial small subunit ribosomal RNA", at positions 355 to 776 of the family's 1533-position model. Lineage: Bacteria; Bacillati; Chloroflexota. The record is from RNAcentral.